RNAcentral lists this ribosomal RNA (468 nucleotides) under uncultured bacterium. Its description in RNAcentral is "partial 16S ribosomal RNA". It matches the Rfam family "Bacterial small subunit ribosomal RNA", at positions 28 to 507 of the family's 1533-position model. The record is from RNAcentral.
GAUGAACGCUGGCGGCGUGCUUAACACAUGCAAGUCGAACGGAAAGGCCCUGCUCUUGUGGGGUGCUCGAGUGGCGAACGGGUGAGUAACACGUGAGUAACCUGCACCUGACUGUGGGAUAACUUCAGGAAACAGGGGCGAAUAUCGGAUAGGAGCUCCUGCUGCAUGGGGGGGGUCGGAGAGUUUCGGCGGUGGGGGAUGGACUCGCGGCUUAUCAGCUUGUUGGUGGGGUAGUGGCUGACCAAGGCUUUGACGGGUAGCCGGCCUGAGAGGGUGACCGGCCUCAUUGGGACUGAGAUACGGCCCAGACUCCUACGGGCGGCAGCAGUGGGGAAUAUUGCGCAAUGGGCGGACGCCUGAUGCAGCAACGCCGCGUGCGGGAUGACGGCCUUCGGGUUGUAAACCGCUUUCGCCUGUGACGAAGCGUGAGUGACGGUAAUGGGUAAAGAAGCCCCGGCUAACUACGUG